UGGGGAAUUUUGGACAAUGGGCGCAAGCCUGAUCCAGCAAUGCCGCGUGUGUGAAGAAGGCCUUCGGGUUGUAAAGCACUUUUGUCCGGAAAGAAAUCCGUCUGGCUAAUACCCGGACGGGAUGACGGUACCGGAAGAAUAAGCACCGGCUAACUACGUGCCAGCAGCCGCGGUAAUACGUAGGGUGCGAGCGUUAAUCGGAAUUACUGGGCGUAAAGCGUGCGCAGGCGGUUUUGUAAGACAGAGGUGAAAUCCCCGGGCUCAACCUGGGAACUGCCUUUGUGACUGCAAGGCUGGAGUGCGGCAGAGGGGGAUGGAAUUCCGCGUGUAGCAGUGAAAUGCGUAGAUAUGCGGAGGAACACCGAUGGCGAAGGCAAUCCCCUGGGCCUGCACUGACGCUCAUGCACGAAAGCGUGGGGAGCAAACA
Molecule: ribosomal RNA, 427 nt
Filed under: uncultured bacterium
Lineage: Bacteria
Description: bacterial SSU rRNA
Rfam family: Bacterial small subunit ribosomal RNA
Source: RNAcentral